AACCUGAGCCAUGUGCAUGGAUGGCUCUUGUGCACUCAUAUUCCUUCUGUCAGCUGCUUAUAGGGGUUGAAAACCUUCAGAAGGCAGAUACAAGUGAUAUGAAAUAGCCUGAGUUAAAAACUCGACUCUGAGUCAAAAACUCAGCAUCAAAAAUUGUGAGAUACCCCAUGAUACUGCAUGCCACACGUAGAGUAAUGGGAAAGCUUAAACGGCUUCUGCCUCAGGCAGAAUGCAACAGAAAACCUGACAGGGAAAGGUAAGAUGGUAGCGGUGAAAGCAGCCAGGAUUGCGUGGUGAUUGCUGCAUGGGAGGUUGCAGCCAAGACUCUAAAAUGACUUAAACCACUGCUGUAUACUUUUGGAUUUGUUUCUUCUUUUCUUAUGUUUUGGAGGAGAAGAGGGUGUGUCUGGAAGUUCAGAUGCUAGCUUGGGACUUAGGCCAUAUUUAUCCAGGUUUCUGCCUUGCCAGUUACUCCCUUCGCAGUUCCUGAGGGAGAACAGACUGCAUUGUUUGUGAGCUUCAAUCCAGGUCAAGUAGGCCGGAUCUUCCACAGAGAAGUUGCUGACUUUGGCCCCAAAAAAUCAUUGUUAAGGAGCCAGCAGAGGCAACCCAGCUCCCAGGUCCCCCAGGAACCUCAUGGGACUGGCAAGAAAAGAAAAAAACACCUCAGGUGUGUUGGCCCCAGAAGAGGAGUUUUCAGCACGUAAUAUGUGGCCACACUGCCUGGCCUGUUUCCCAGCACUUAGUGAAAGGAAAGAGAUACAUCUUAUACAGUUGUUUCUCAUCUAA
This 789-nucleotide long non-coding RNA is filed under the name Manacus vitellinus (golden-collared manakin). Its description in RNAcentral is "lncRNA (ENSMVIG00005001355.1)". Lineage: Eukaryota; Metazoa; Chordata; Aves; Passeriformes; Pipridae. The record is from RNAcentral.